Molecule: small nucleolar RNA, 144 nt
Organism: Mastomys coucha (southern multimammate mouse)
Lineage: Eukaryota; Metazoa; Chordata; Mammalia; Rodentia; Muridae
Product: small nucleolar RNA SNORA29
Exons: 1
Source: RefSeq, a predicted model, not a curated record
CAUUGCACAUAAAAUAGUUGUUUUCUUCUCUUAGGACUAGAUAUAGUGGCUAUGUUUAUGCAAUAGAUUGAAAUUGCCAUGCUGUGAAGAGAGAGGGCAUUUCAGCUUUCUCUCUCUCUUUAUAAAAUGGCUGGACCUACCAUC